CGUUCCAUGGAACAAGACAAUGCCGCCACACGUUGGUAAAAUAUCAAGCUAAAUUCACCUGAGAUUGUGCUGCCGCCUAUACAAACUCAGUCGCCAUAUUCGUUUCCGCUAGUCGGACCCCAGUGGAAGGUAAACUUCGUUGAUUAGACGCUCGUUUCCAUUUGUACAAUCGUCAUCAUUUGUUUGCAAAAUAUAUAAAUACAAAUAACAGUCAUGCGAACGAACGAACCUUUUCGUGGGGCUUGAAAAAUUCUUUAUAAUCAAGUGAAUUUCUGAAUUGUCAUGAAAUUUCAUCGUACCCGAAUUCAACGGGUCGAUUGAGUAAAAGCAAGAUUCGAUGCGGAAUUAUUUGAAUAACGGUAUUUUCGUAUCAAAACAUUCCAUGUCAAUUCGUCGAUUAUUGCAGUUUGCUGCAUGUCAUUUUUUUCUUUCAACAAACUGUUACAGCAACAUACUUGAAAAUUUAAAUACUCUGUAUAACAAUAAACUACAAAAUUUUGUUUAUUAAAUAAAACAUCCUUAAAUGUCUAGAACAAUUGAUGAAAAUCGCGAUGUUACAAAUGUUUCAAUUGUGUUGACAUUUCCAUUAAAAAAAAUAUACAUCCAUCUGUCAUAAUAAAAUAUUAAAAAAUCCAGGGUUUCAUUUUGAUUAUACUAUGAUUAUGCUAUAUGGGAAAAUCCAUUGACUUCACUACACAUCAAAACAGUUUCAAUAAAUAAAUUAAUUAAAAUUACUACUAUUUUUAACUUUUCUGAUAAUUGCAUACAACAAAUUUCAUUUAUUUUUCCUAGCAGAAUAAUAAAAAAAAAUUAUACAUAUUUUUCUUAAUUCAAAUGAAAUCCUUAGAAACCACAGAGGCAAAGCAUCCAAAUUGAAGAAAAUUUUUAUUGAUGUAUAAAAAUUAAUUAAGUAUUGUCUUUAAAAUUAAAAAAAAAAUGAAUACAAAAAUUGAUU
This 955-nucleotide unclassified non-coding RNA is filed under the name Venturia canescens. RNAcentral's name for it is "uncharacterized LOC122405711, transcript variant X1". The record is from RNAcentral. Lineage: Eukaryota; Metazoa; Arthropoda; Insecta; Hymenoptera; Ichneumonidae.